CCCAGGGAGGCUUUGAAAGAAUGAAGCACCGUUCUGAAGAGACGGAGAAGGAUUUUAUCCCCCCGGGA
Molecule: transfer RNA, 68 nt
Filed under: Bovicola caprae
Lineage: Eukaryota; Metazoa; Arthropoda; Insecta; Psocodea; Bovicoliidae
Description: tRNA-Phe
Source: RNAcentral